RNAcentral lists this long non-coding RNA (602 nucleotides) under Salmo salar (Atlantic salmon). Its description in RNAcentral is "lncRNA (ENSSSAG00000113118.1)". Lineage: Eukaryota; Metazoa; Chordata; Actinopteri; Salmoniformes; Salmonidae. The record is from RNAcentral.
AUGCACUCCUAACAACCAACUCGUUACGAAAAUGUAUAUACGAUCAAAUAAGCCAGAAUUUUGGGCCCAGUUAUCCCUCUUGCUUCUCAUCUUCCGCGCUGUUUGAUAGGAAAUGACUGGUAUAAGAAAUAUGGUGGAAACUAGCCCAUGCCCUCCAAUCCAAUGCUCUUAGAUUUGUGGGUUGUAGUGAACGACUGAACAUUUCAGGACAAAGCUAGCCCGUCCCCCUCCACCCUCCAGGAGUCACCAGGUCCACCGCCUCUCCAUACUUUACUGCUGGUUCUGGUCGACUGCAGGAAGGGGACAUCCCUAAUCAUUGCUCUCUUAGUGGGAGGGGCGUAUCAUCUGGGGAGCCUCCACAACAUCAUGAUUCUGAUAAGAAAGAGAAGAGUCUCUCCAGAUCAGAACACCUCAAGAAACACCAGCAUAGAGGUAUAGGGAAGAAACCUCACCACUGCUGCUCUGACUGUGAGAAGAGUUUUGCUAAACAAGACUUAACUAUUCAUGAGCAAAUUCACACUGGAUAGAACCCGUACCAUUGCUCUCAGCGUGGGAAGAGUUUUGCUGCAUCUAAAACCUUAAAAUUUCAUCAGAGAAUUCAU